UACGAAGGGUGCAAGCGUUAAUCGGAAUUACUGGGCGUAAAGCGUGCGUAGGCGGUUUCUUAAGUCUGCUGUGAAAGCCCCGGGCUCAACCUGGGAAUGGCGGUGGAUACUGAGGAGCUGGAGUACGGUAGAGGAAGGUGGAAUUCCCGGUGUAGCGGUGAAAUGCGUAGAGAUCGGGAGGAACAUCAGUGGCGAAGGCGGGUCUCUGGGCCGAUACUGACGCUGAGGAGCGAAAGCAUGGGUAGCGAACAGG
This 253-nucleotide ribosomal RNA is filed under the name uncultured bacterium. Its description in RNAcentral is "partial 16S ribosomal RNA". It matches the Rfam family "Bacterial small subunit ribosomal RNA", at positions 524 to 776 of the family's 1533-position model. The record is from RNAcentral.